This 246-nucleotide long non-coding RNA is filed under the name Helianthus annuus (common sunflower). RNAcentral's name for it is "sRNA HanXRQr2_Chr11g0473111". Lineage: Eukaryota; Viridiplantae; Streptophyta; Magnoliopsida; Asterales; Asteraceae. The record is from RNAcentral.
UUCUUAAAAACAAGAGUAAGAAAUUCUCAUCGACAACAAGUGGGAAAUUGAGAAGAGAUCGACUCAAAAGUGAAGUUAUGCUUCACUUGAAAUAAAUCUCUAGCUGUCUAUAAAGUGGGCAUCUAUAUAAUCUAUGUUGGGAUUGAGACAACUUCAAGUGACGGCCCCUUGUUUUUUUCCGACGGUGAUUGAUUAUUCCGGCGAGUUCUUGGAGGCAAAUGGUGUUUGAAACAAAGGUUGGAGUAG